AGCGAUGUAGCUCAAUUGGAAGAGUAUUUGUCUAGCCAACAUGAACCCUGGGUUAAAUCCCCAGCACCGUAU
This 72-nucleotide transfer RNA is filed under the name Mus musculus (house mouse). It matches the Rfam family "tRNA". From Rfam's summary of the family: Transfer RNA (tRNA) molecules are approximately 80 nucleotides in length. Their secondary structure includes four short double-helical elements and three loops (D, anti-codon, and T loops). Lineage: Eukaryota; Metazoa; Chordata; Mammalia; Rodentia; Muridae. RNAcentral also lists the same sequence under 1 other name. The record is from Rfam by way of RNAcentral.